GAUGAACGCUGGCGGCGUGCCUAAUACAUGCAAGUCGAGCGAACGGACGAGAAGCUUGCUUCUCUGAUGUUAGCGGCGGACGGGUGAGUAACACGUGGAUAACCUACCUAUAAGACUGGGAUAACUUCGGGAAACCGGAGCUAAUACCGGAUAAUAUUUUGAACCGCAUGGUUCAAAAGUGAAAGACGGUCUUGCUGUCACUUAUAGAUGGAUCCGCGCUGCAUUAGCUAGUUGGUAAGGUAACGGCUUACCAAGGCAACGAUGCAUAGCCGACCUGAGAGGGGGAUCCGCCACACUGGAACUGAGACACGGUCCAGGCUCCUACGGGAGGCAGCAGUAGGGAAGCUGCCGGAAGGGGCGAAAGCCUGACGGAGCAACGCCGCGUGAGUGAUGAAGGUCUUCGGAUCGUAAAACGCUGUUAUUAGGGAAGAACAUAUGUGUAAGUAACUGUGCACAUCUUGACGGUACCGAAUCAGAAAGCCACGGCUAACUACGG
This 496-nucleotide ribosomal RNA is filed under the name uncultured bacterium. Its description in RNAcentral is "partial 16S ribosomal RNA". It matches the Rfam family "Bacterial small subunit ribosomal RNA", at positions 28 to 506 of the family's 1533-position model. The record is from RNAcentral.